GACCUCCGAUAUUACGCCCUUUUGGGGAGUGAAGACCAAAGGAAAUUAGCGGCCAGCAGUAUAUCCCUGCUGCUGGCCCUUUCACGAAGAUUCCCGAACCUCAGAAACACAGUAAUUCGGCCGGAGCUGGCGUGCUUCAGAAAUAAUCUGAAAGAAGAUGACAUCAUCAUUGAGGAGUUGUGAUUUUCCUCCUUGAAGGAAUUGCUGCUCUAUUUGGACAUCUCAACUGGCCAAAGACUGGCAGAAGAAGAGGCACU
Molecule: non-coding RNA, 257 nt
Organism: Podarcis muralis (Common wall lizard)
Lineage: Eukaryota; Metazoa; Chordata; Lepidosauria; Squamata; Lacertidae
Source: RefSeq, a predicted model, not a curated record